CCCCCUCGGUCUUGGAGGAGAGAAGGUGAAGGUAGAGCCCUUAAACCCACCUCAAACUGGUCAAAAAAACCUUGGAACCUCCUCAGAUACCCCAACCGCCAGACGGGGAACACCCACUUUAAAACGUAAGAGGCAACUAUCCAUUUUGGUGAAGCUACAAUCUACCGCCCUGAGGUAUCAAGAAGCCAUCAACAAAAACUUAUCCGGAUCAAUUAAAGCCCGGAGGAUUAUGACAGAAGCGGUGGAGAGUAUUCAGAAAAUUCCACUUUCCGGUC
Long non-coding RNA from Fundulus heteroclitus (mummichog), 275 nucleotides. RefSeq lists it as uncharacterized. The record is from RefSeq and is a predicted model, not a curated record. The transcript is spliced from 3 exons. Lineage: Eukaryota; Metazoa; Chordata; Actinopteri; Cyprinodontiformes; Fundulidae.